RNAcentral lists this ribosomal RNA (252 nucleotides) under uncultured bacterium. RNAcentral describes it as "partial 16S ribosomal RNA". It matches the Rfam family "Bacterial small subunit ribosomal RNA", at positions 524 to 776 of the family's 1533-position model. The record is from RNAcentral.
UACGGGGGGGCAAGCGUUGUUCGGAAUUACUGGGCGUAAAGGGUUUGUAGGUGGCUUGUUAAGUCAGACGUGAAAUCCCUCGGCUUAACCGGGGAACUGCGUCCGAUACUGGAUGGCUUGAGUUCGGGAGAGGGAUGCGGAAUUCCAGGUGUAGCGGUGAAAUGCGUAGAUAUCUGGAGGAACACCGGUGGCGAAGGCGGCAUCCUGGACCGACACUGACGCUGAGGAGCGAAAGCCAGGGGAGCAAACGGG